CCCUUAGAUGUCCUGGGCCGCACGCGCGUUACACUGAUGCAUUCAACGAGCUUAUAACCUUGGCCGAGAGGCUUGGGCAAUCUUGUUAACGUGCAUCGUGAUAGGGAUAGAUUAUUGAAAUUAUUAAUCUUGAACGAGGAAUUCCUAGUAAACGCAGAUCAUCAAUCUGCAUUGAUUACGUCCCUGCCCUUUGUACACACCGCCCGUCGCACCUACCGAUUGGAUGGUCCGGUGAAGCCUCGGGAUUGUGGUUCUUGCCGCUUUAUUGUGGCGUGACCGCGAGAACUUGUCUAAACCUUAUCAUCUAGAGGAAGGUGAAGUCGUAACA
This 328-nucleotide ribosomal RNA is filed under the name uncultured eukaryote. RNAcentral's name for it is "partial 18S ribosomal RNA". It matches the Rfam family "Eukaryotic small subunit ribosomal RNA", at positions 1470 to 1796 of the family's 1831-position model. The record is from RNAcentral.